Molecule: ribosomal RNA, 700 nt
Filed under: unidentified eukaryote clone OM22
Lineage: Eukaryota
Description: bacterial SSU rRNA
Rfam family: Bacterial small subunit ribosomal RNA
Source: RNAcentral
CGAGUUUGAUCAUGGCUCAGGAUGAACGCUGGCGGUAUGCCUUACACAUGCAAGUCGUACGAGAGUUUUUAACUCAAGUGGCGGACGGGUGAGUAACACGUGAGUAUUUACCUUUAGGAGGGGGACAACAGUUGGAAACGACUGCUAAUACCCCAUAUGCUUUAGAGUGAAAUGGAUUUAUCCGCCUAAAGAAAAGCUCGCGGCUGAUUAGCUUGUUGGUGAGGUAAUGGCUCACCAAGGCGACGAUCAGUAUCUGGUUUGAGAGGACGAUCAGACACACUGGAACUGAGACACGGUCCAGGGAACUCUAGAAAGACUGCUGGUUAUAAACCGGAGGAAGGCGGGGAUGACGUCAAGUCAGCAUGCCCCUUACACCCUGGGCUACACACGUGCUACAUUGGGCGAGACAAUGAGAUGCAACUCUGCGAAGAUUAGCUAAUCUAUAAACUCGUUCUAAGUUCGGAUUGCAGGCUGCAACUCGCCUGCAUGAAGGUGGAAUCGCUAGUAAUCGCUGGUCAGCUACACAGCGGUGAAUCCGUUCCCGGGCCUUGUACACACCGCCCGUCACACCAUGGAAGCUGGUUAUACCCGAAGUCGUUACUCUAACCGUUUGGAGGAGGAUGCCUAAGGUAGAAUUAGUGACUGGGGUGAAGUCGUAACAAGGUAACCGUACUGGAAGGUGUGGUUGGAUCACCUCCUU